GUGACGACUUGAACCCGGCCGGAGCGGUGAAGAGAGACCCGCAUGGGUCCUGU
RNAcentral lists this small nucleolar RNA (53 nucleotides) under Pyrobaculum aerophilum str. IM2. RNAcentral's name for it is "PAEsR107". The record is from RNAcentral. Lineage: Archaea; Thermoproteati; Thermoproteota; Thermoprotei; Thermoproteales; Thermoproteaceae.